AUGCACCGCCGACCCGCGCGAGGGAUGCAACCACCUGGACCCGCGCUUCCGCCUGCGCCGCCGGAUCAUGCUGUCCAACCGCACCGACGGCGACGGUCGCCGCUUCCUCAACCUCUCCACCGGCGCCAGCGCCCGCGCAGACCUACCACCGAGGGCCUCUUGCUCCUGCGUGACAAGGCGAGCCACGCCGUGCAGCUCCUCAACCCGCUCACCAGGGCCCUCGUCAGGGACGUCAUCAGGGUGGAGCACCUUGUGAAGGAGCACCGGUGGAACCUAAUUCAGGUGUUGGAGGUGGAUGUGGCCGGGAAGCGGCUUGUUCCGGUGGAGGACAUUGGCCGGCACCGCGCCGUGUUUGUCGGGGAUGUGGCCUGCUUCUCCCUCUCGGUCAGGAGGUUUCCAUGCGUGGCAGGGAACGCGAUACACAUGGGGGCGCUUGGGGCUCGCUGCCCUCCUGUCGGCGUGCGGUAUCUGGCCGACAAGACUGCUGAUCUGUCGUUUGUGUUCGCCACCGACGUGCCAGGGCUUCUAGACGAUAUAUCAGUGAAACGGUACCGCCAGAGGAUACCGGAGCUGAAUCUAGUGCCUCUUGCUCGCCCUUGUACACUCCAAGAGUACCUUGUCUGUUGCGCUCUCGUCCUUGGCGGUCUCAAAGACUAA
This 657-nucleotide ribosomal RNA is filed under the name Triticum aestivum (bread wheat). RNAcentral's name for it is "partial small subunit ribosomal RNA". The record is from RNAcentral. Lineage: Eukaryota; Viridiplantae; Streptophyta; Magnoliopsida; Poales; Poaceae.